RNAcentral lists this long non-coding RNA (1188 nucleotides) under Olea europaea subsp. europaea. The record is from RNAcentral. Lineage: Eukaryota; Viridiplantae; Streptophyta; Magnoliopsida; Lamiales; Oleaceae.
CAUCACAAGAGAUGGUGUAGCACUCAUCGCUUUCCCCUCCUUCCGAGGCAUAGCUUACCUCUUGCUUGACUUGCACCUUCCCACUUUGUUGUUCUUAUUGUUCAUCUUCCAACCCUUUUUGUUUGGACAAUUCGCCUUGAAAUGCCCAAGCUCGCCACAUUUGAAACAAGACCUUUCCGCAAGAGGUCUAGAACUCGAUCUAGAUUUUUCUCCCUUGCCCUUUGGUCGCACAUUGCUUCUACCCCUUACAAACAAUCCUUGAGCUUGCUCCUUGUUACCAAUGGUAGACAUGCCACUAGUUGCAAUCUUUCGAAGAUCAUCCGCUAGAAGUGACGUUCUAGUGUCCUCCAUCACAAGUUUAUCACCCACAAGCAUCAAUGUUUGUACUAGGCUCUCGUAAGACUUUGGCAAUGAAAGAAGUAGUAGAAGUGCUUGAUCCUCAUCAUCUACAUCCACAUCAAUGUCCUUUAAGUCCGAUAUGAUCCUAUCAAACUUGUUGACGUACUCCCGGAUUGGUGUACCUUCAUCCAUCUUGCAAGUAUACAAUUUGGAUUUCAAGUAGAUCCGAUUUGUUAGAGUCUUCGUCAUGAAGUUCGCAUCCAACUUUGUCCACACCUUCGCCGCCAUUACCUCACUAUCAACCAAGAAAGCAACAUCUCUUUCAAGGCAAAGAAUGAUAGACGCUCGUGCCUCAAGAUCUAGCUCUUCCCAAUCCUCGUUCGACAUAUCAACGUGCUUCUUCUCCUUUCCCGUCAAUGCCUUGUGCAACUUUUGAGAAAUCAAUAAAUUUUUCAUUUGCAUUCUCCAAUAUGAAAAAUCAUUCUUCCCAUUGAAUUUCUCUAUCUCAUACUUCCCAAUCUUCACCAUUCCUCUAGUAGACAUGAUUUAUCCACUUGUUUACCGAAAAUAAAUCACCAAAGUUCACUUGGAAAUUUUCACAAACACCUUGUGCACAACAAAGUUCAAGCAACUCACCACAAAAUCGAAACUUAACCACCUUGAUUUAGGAUGUAGCUCUGAUACCAAAUUGUUGGGAAAACACCUCCUAAAGAUAGCCCAAGAUCAAACAAAGUUGACAAUGUGAAAAAUUUCCAGACCACUUCAAGAACAAGAAAAUGAGGAAGAAAUGAUUUCAAUGGAAUAUAUGAAGAUCAAUGUAUUUGGAUUAUUUGAACAAGCCUCAAGUUA